GACGAACGCUGGCGGCGUGCUUAACACAUGCAAGUCGAACGGAAAGGCCCUGCUUGCAGGGUGCUCGAGUGGCGAACGGGUGAGUAACACGUGGGUGAUCUGCCCCUUACUUUGGGAUAAGCCUGGGAAACUGGGUCUAAUACUGGAUAGGACCAUGCUGUAGGUGGUGUGGUGGGAAGAUUAGUUUCGGUAAGGGAUGAGCUCGCGGCCUAUCAGCUUGUUGGUGGGGUAAUGGCCUACCAAGGCGUCGACGGGUAGCCGGCCUGAGAGGGUGGACGGCCACAUUGGGACUGAGAUACGGCCCAGACUCCUACGGGAGGCAGCAGAGGGGAAUAUUGCACAAUGGGCGCAAGCCUGAUGCAGCGACGCCGCGUGGGGGAUGACGGCCUUCGGGUUGUAAACUCCUUUCAGCCAUGACGAAGCCCUUGUGGUGACGGUAGUGGUAGAAGAAGCACCGGCUAACUACGUG
RNAcentral lists this ribosomal RNA (469 nucleotides) under uncultured bacterium. RNAcentral's name for it is "partial 16S ribosomal RNA". It matches the Rfam family "Bacterial small subunit ribosomal RNA", at positions 28 to 507 of the family's 1533-position model. The record is from RNAcentral.